This 497-nucleotide ribosomal RNA is filed under the name uncultured bacterium. RNAcentral describes it as "partial 16S ribosomal RNA". It matches the Rfam family "Bacterial small subunit ribosomal RNA", at positions 28 to 507 of the family's 1533-position model. The record is from RNAcentral.
GACGAACGCUGGCGGCGUGCCUAAUACAUGCAAGUUGAGCGCUGAAGGUUGGUACUUGUACCAACUGGAUGAGCAGCGAACGGGUGGGUAACGCGUGGGGAAUCUGCCUUUGAGCGGGGGACAACAUUUGGAAACGAAUGCUAAUACCGCAUAAAAACUUUAAACACAAGUUUUAAGUUUGAAAGAUGCAAUUGCAUCACUCAAAGAUGAUCCCGCGUUGUAUUAGCUAGUUGGUGAGGUAAAGGCUCACCAAGGCGAUGAUACAUAGCCGACCUGAGAGGGUGAUCGGCCACAUUGGGACUGAGACACGGCCCAAACUCCUACGGGAGGCAGCAGUAGGGAAUCUUCGGCAAUGGACGAAAGUCUGACCGAGCAACGCCGCGUGAGUGAAGAAGGUUUUCGGAUCGUAAAACUCGGUUGGUAGAGAAGAACGUUGGUGAGAGUGGAAAGCUCAUCAAGUGACGGUAACUACCCAGAAAGGGACGGCUAACUACGUG